AACGAACGCUGGCGGCAUGCCUAACACAUGCAAGUCGAACGAGACCUUCGGGUCUGGUGGCGCACGGGUGCGUAACGCGUGGGAACCUGCCCUUAGGUUCGGAAUAACUCCCCGAAAGGGGUGCUAAUACCGGAGCAUGUCUUCGGACCGAAGAUUGAUCGCCUUUGGAUGGGCCCGCGUUGGAUUAGCUAGUUGGUAGGGUAAAAGCCUACCAAGGCGACGAUCCAUAGCUGGUCUGAGAGGAUGAUCAGCCACACUGGGACUGAGACACGGCCCAGACUCCUACGGGAGGCAGCAGUGGGUAAUAUUGGACAAUGGGCGAAAGCCUGAUGCAGCAAUGCCGCGUGAGUGAUGAAGGCCUUAGGGUUGUAAAGCUCUUUUACCCGGGAUGAUAAUGACAGUACCGGGAGAAUAAGCACCGGCUAACUCCGUG
Molecule: ribosomal RNA, 433 nt
Filed under: uncultured bacterium
Lineage: Bacteria
Description: partial 16S ribosomal RNA
Rfam family: Bacterial small subunit ribosomal RNA
Source: RNAcentral